Molecule: long non-coding RNA, 1064 nt
Organism: Chelonia mydas (Green sea turtle)
Lineage: Eukaryota; Metazoa; Chordata; Testudines; Cheloniidae
Exons: 2
Source: RefSeq, a predicted model, not a curated record
CCCAGUUUGUCCAGUUAAGUGGGUGAGGCAGCACCUAGGAUUAUAUGGGAUCAAGGAGAAUCAGAGAAGGAGGAGACUGUUCCUGAAGGAAGUUGUGUGAGGUUUGUGGGGAAGGCUGAGGAGGGCUGAAGACAGCAAAGGGAGUUGCUUGCUGAUUUACAAGUUAACAAUGUACAUGGACAACUGAGAGACCAGUUGGCUGUGAACUACAAUAUUUCAAUUUCAAUCAAGGGUCUGUGCAUAAUGGCACAUUAAUAUAAGCCUGAGAAUGUUCCUGCACUAAAAAUAGGAUUGGUAGAUUGAUCUUCUUUUGGCACGAUAGCCCUAAAGCAAAAGUAAUGCAAAGGUUUCCAACAGCUGAUGUUGGACUUAAAGUGAAGUAAUCAAUAGAAGUUCCAUCAGCUCAGCAUUAAUUUUCAGAUGUUCCUGUGUCCAUCAGUCUUGAGCUCCAGACAGAGCCAAACAGGGAGAAGAGACACCACCAGAACAGAGAGGUAAAUCCAAAUCUGGUCAGGAUGAAAAAGCUGACCAACAACAGAACUGCCACAAGGCAGCUUAGGGAUGUUGAAAAGGACAGAGCCACCAGUAAGACCCAGGAAACUCCUCAGAAAAAGAGCUCUGUUAUGAAUGGUACAGACACAUUCAGCAUAGAUCAAGAAAGGCUUCAUUUCAACAAGACCGUUCAUGCUCCAUCUGUCAGCUUCCUCAGCCUCCUAAGAGAUUGAUCAUGCACAGGGCAGGUUUGGAGAGUUGUCUAUGUAGGUGUAAAGUAAAAAGGGAUAAGCAAAACAGAGAAGGUAAGGGAAGCCGGUCCUGUGUUAAUGUUGAGAGGCCACCAAGCCCAAGAGGCACCUCAUUAGCCUGGGUUUCAUUUAAGCUCUUGUUACCUCAGAUAUGCCCAUAUGGAUAAUACAUGGUAAAAGACAAAACAUAGACACUGGACACCAUUUGGUGCUACAGAGCUCCGUUUUGGUGCUUGAAGCUCUUCCAAUGACAUUUUGAGACUUUCUGCCCAUCAAGCAGUGUGGAAGGGCCCUUCUCUGAAUUAAAGGAAAUAAUUGCUA